Molecule: long non-coding RNA, 357 nt
Organism: Neofelis nebulosa (Clouded leopard)
Lineage: Eukaryota; Metazoa; Chordata; Mammalia; Carnivora; Felidae
Exons: 3
Source: RefSeq, a predicted model, not a curated record
GGAAAAAGACCCGCCAAGGGGAAUUAUUACCACCUCCCACCCCCCGGCCUAAACUCAAUAGCUAGAAUAAGGCCAUGGAUUCAUUUAUCAGUACUAGAAACUUCGCACAUCUUUACCAGUCUACCAACUACAAAUUCACAGGUUUCGAGAGGAGGGACAGGAGGAGCCGAAGGAGAAGGUACCCGAGAAAACGACACGUUAUCUGGCUCAAGGGGCCUCGGCACUGGGCGAAGACUGGCGCACGGGAGGCGUCGCGGAACAGGCCGGCCUUUCAACUUGGACUUUCAUCACCAGCUUUCUGGGUUCUCUAGCCUGCAGAUAGCUGAUCAAGGGACUUUGUGGCCUCCAUAACAGUGU